This 72-nucleotide transfer RNA is filed under the name Camelus bactrianus (Bactrian camel). It matches the Rfam family "tRNA". Rfam says of the family: Transfer RNA (tRNA) molecules are approximately 80 nucleotides in length. Their secondary structure includes four short double-helical elements and three loops (D, anti-codon, and T loops). Further hydrogen bonds mediate the characteristic L-shaped molecular structure. tRNAs have two regions of fundamental functional importance: the anti-codon, which is responsible for specific mRNA codon recognition, and the 3' end, to which the tRNAs corresponding amino acid is attached (by aminoacyl-tRNA synthetases). tRNAs cope with the degeneracy of the genetic code in two manners: having more than one tRNA (with a specific anti-codon) for a particular amino acid; and 'wobble' base-pairing, i.e. permitting non-standard base-pairing at the 3rd anti-codon position. Lineage: Eukaryota; Metazoa; Chordata; Mammalia; Artiodactyla; Camelidae. The record is from Rfam by way of RNAcentral. RNAcentral also lists the same sequence under 2 other names.
GAGGGUACAGCUCAGUGGUAGAGCACGUGCUUAGUGCGCACAAGGUCCUGGGUUCAAUCCUCAGUACCUCCA